CCUGAGUCCUGAUUAGUCUCUCCAAGCUUAGUCAGCUUCCAUUUUCUCUAGGAGUUACCUUCUGCUGUGUAUUCACAUACUCAGCGGUAACAACCAUACUUUGAAUUUUAUAAUAUUUGACAGUUCAGAUAUUUUCUGAUUAAUUAAUGUUACAGAACAUACGUGAAAGAAAUCCUGGCAUGUUUCCCUCAAGGAUGAAGAGUAGGAUUAUACCGUCCACAUACUUUGCUGCCAUUUUGAUUCAAAGAAGUGGAAGAGGAGAUCUGGAGAGUGGCUACAAGAUGCAACAAAAUGGAAAUGACCAUGGCUUCAGGAGACCAGUGAUCUAGCCCUAAAUUUUCCCCUACCUCCCAGAGGCAAGAGAGGUUUCUUCUCUUUGGGUCUCCCAGAAUCACAUGAAGGAAGAAUAGCUUAAUCUACAUUUAUAUCUAUUUAAAUUUCAGACAAAAUUUCUGGUAAAAUUAAAUCCGUAUUUGAAAAAGACUAAGCAUGGGGCGCCUGGGUGGCUCAGUUGGUUAAGUGCCUCCUUUAGCUCAGGUCAUGAUACUGGGGUCCUGAGAUGGAGCCGUGUGUGGGGCCGUGCUCCUUCUCCUCUGCCCCUCCCCUGCACAACGGCACUGCGCACGCGCUCGCUCUCUCUAGC
Molecule: long non-coding RNA, 643 nt
Filed under: Mustela putorius furo (domestic ferret)
Lineage: Eukaryota; Metazoa; Chordata; Mammalia; Carnivora; Mustelidae
Description: lncRNA (ENSMPUG00000031218.1)
Source: RNAcentral